This 469-nucleotide ribosomal RNA is filed under the name uncultured bacterium. RNAcentral describes it as "bacterial SSU rRNA". It matches the Rfam family "Bacterial small subunit ribosomal RNA", at positions 333 to 793 of the family's 1533-position model. The record is from RNAcentral.
AGCAUCCUACGGGAGGCAGCAGUGGGGAAUAUUGCACAAUGGGCGCAAGCCUGAUGCAGCCAUGCCGCGUGUAUGAAGAAGGCCUUCGGGUUGUAAAGUACUUUCAGCAGUGAGGAAGGUGGGUAUGUUAAUAGCAUACUCAUUUGACGUUAGCUGCAGAAGAAGCACCGGCUAACUCCGUGCCAGCAGCCGCGGUAAUACGGAGGGUGCGAGCGUUAAUCGGAAUUACUGGGCGUAAAAGCGCAUGCAGGUGGUUUGUUAAGUCAGAUGUGAAAGCCCGGGGCUCAACCUCGGAAUUGCAUUUGAAACUGGCAAACUAGAGUACUGUAGAGGGGGUAGAAUUUCAGGUGUAGCGGUGAAAAUGCGUAGAGAUCUGAAGGAAUACCGGUGGCGAAGGCGGCCCCCUGGACAGAUACUGACACUCAGAUGCGAAAGCGUGGGGAGCAAACAGGAUUAGAUACCCUGGUAG